UCAAUUGAAUUGUUUGAAUUUGUAACAGAAAUAAAAUAUAAGAGAAAAUAUUUAUAUUAUAUUACAAUUUCGCACACAAUUAUUUAAUUAUACUUUAACCUUCAUGAUUAUUUAAAUGUAGAAACGUAGAAAUUAAGAAAUUUUAUCAAAAACAAGAAAACAACAGGGAGAGAGAAAGAGAUACGAAUGUUGCAAGUUGCAAACUCAUAAAGGCCGCAGAGUUUGAUAAACACGCGCGAAACGAUCGAAAGUUGGUGUUUAAUAAGCUGCCUUUAUGGCACGGAUCCAUAAACGAAGAUUCUAGUUUCUUGAACAUAAAUGGCUACAUUUGACUACUUGAAUUUACCACAUAAUCUUGAAGAUAUUAAAAUUCGAAAAACGUGAAAUAAAACGAAGAAUAUACGCUGUUCCAUUGUAUAUAUUAUAGUGAACGUUGUAAAAGGCGAAAUUAAAUAUAAUAUGAUAAUUAGUUGAUAGAAUGUAAGUAGUUUUAUUAACACACGAGAAAAUAUCGUUAAUGGAAAAUAUUUUUCCAGUUUUAACUCAUUAACACUUUUAAAUUAUUGAAUAUCGAUUUUAUAAAAGUUGCGACUUUGAAGAAAAAGUUUUCUUCGACACUUUAAUAAAGGAGAAA
Long non-coding RNA from Apis cerana (Asiatic honeybee), 634 nucleotides. RefSeq lists it as uncharacterized. NCBI's taxonomy places the organism in Eukaryota, Metazoa, Arthropoda, Insecta, Hymenoptera, Apidae. The record is from RefSeq and is a predicted model, not a curated record.